This 515-nucleotide ribosomal RNA is filed under the name uncultured bacterium. RNAcentral's name for it is "partial 16S ribosomal RNA". It matches the Rfam family "Bacterial small subunit ribosomal RNA", at positions 28 to 523 of the family's 1533-position model. The record is from RNAcentral.
GACGAACGCUGGCGGCGUGCCUAAUACAUGCAAGUCGAGCGGAUGACGGAGGAGCUUGCUCCUCCUGAUUCAGCGGCGGACGGGUGAGUAACACGUGAGCAACCUGCCCUGUAGAUUGGGAUAACUCCGGGAAACCGGGGCUAAUACCGAAUAAUCCUUCGGACCUCAUGGUCCGAUGUUGAAAGACGGCAUCUCGCUGUCACUACAGGACGGGCCCGCGGCGCAUUAGCUAGUUGGUGAGGUAACGGCUCACCAAGGCCACGAUGCGUAGCCGACCUGAGAGGGUGAUCGGCCACACUGGGACUGAGACACGGCCCAGACUCCUACGGGAGGCAGCAGUAGGGAAUCUUCCACAAUGGACGAAAGUCUGAUGGAGCAACGCCGCGUGAGUGAAGAAGGUUCUCGGAUCGUAAAACUCUGUUGUGAGGGAAGAACAAGUACCGGAGUAACUGCCGGUGCCUUGACGGUACCUCAUUAGAAAGCCACGGCUAACUACGUGCCAGCCGCCGCAGUAA